GACGAACGCUGGCGGCGUGCCUAAUACAUGCAAGUAGAACGCUGAAGGAGGAGCUUGCUUCUCUGGAUGAGUUGCGAACGGGUGAGUAACGCGUAGGUAACCUGCCUGGUAGCGGGGGAUAACUAUUGGAAACGAUAGCUAAUACCGCAUAAGAGUAGAUGUUGCAUGACAUUUGCUUAAAAGGUGCAAUUGCAUCACUACCAGAUGGACCUGCGUUGUAUUAGCUAGUUGGUGGGGUAACGGCUCACCAAGGCGACGAUACAUAGCCGACCUGAGAGGGUGAUCGGCCAUACUGGGACUGAGACACGGCCCAGACUCCUACGGGAGGCAGCAGUAGGGAAUCUUCGGCAAUGGACGGAAGUCUGACCGAGCAACGCCGCGUGAGUGAAGAAGGUUUUCGGAUCGUAAAGCUCGGUUGUAAGAGAAGAACGAGUGUGAGAGUGGAAAGUUCACACUGUGACGGUAGCUUACCAGAAAGGGACGGCUAACUACGUG
This 495-nucleotide ribosomal RNA is filed under the name uncultured bacterium. Its description in RNAcentral is "partial 16S ribosomal RNA". It matches the Rfam family "Bacterial small subunit ribosomal RNA", at positions 28 to 507 of the family's 1533-position model. The record is from RNAcentral.